CUUGGAAACAUCACCACUCUCAAAAGUUUGGUAUUGGAGUUCAAUGAACUAUCUGGAAAUCUUCCUCCAGAGCUUGGGAAUCUUAUUCAGAUUGAAAGACUGCAUCUAACCUCCAACUAUUUCACUGGAGAGUUACCU
This is a non-coding RNA of Cajanus cajan (pigeon pea), 138 nucleotides long. Lineage: Eukaryota; Viridiplantae; Streptophyta; Magnoliopsida; Fabales; Fabaceae. The record is from RefSeq and is a predicted model, not a curated record.